UACGAAGGGGGCUAGCGUUGCUCGGAAUCACUGGGCGUAAAGCGCGCGUAGGCGGUUGCCUAAGUCGGACGUGAAAGCCCUCGGCUUAACCGAGGAAGUGCAUCCGAAACUGAGCAGCUAGAGUACGAAAGAGGGUCGCGGAAUUCCCGGUGUAGAGGUGAAAUUCGUAGAUAUCGGGAGGAACACCGGCGGCGAAGGCGGCGACCUGGGUCGAGACUGACGCUGAGGCGCGAAAGCGUGGGGAGCAAACAGG
This 253-nucleotide ribosomal RNA is filed under the name uncultured bacterium. RNAcentral's name for it is "partial 16S ribosomal RNA". It matches the Rfam family "Bacterial small subunit ribosomal RNA", at positions 524 to 776 of the family's 1533-position model. The record is from RNAcentral.